Molecule: long non-coding RNA, 1293 nt
Organism: Aedes aegypti (yellow fever mosquito)
Lineage: Eukaryota; Metazoa; Arthropoda; Insecta; Diptera; Culicidae
Exons: 2
Source: RefSeq, a predicted model, not a curated record
CACAGCCUGUUGAUGACAUUUCAUGUCAGUAUUGUCGUGAUCAUUCGUUCGACUUGUUUUGUUUAGUUACGAUCACAAGUUAAUUUUACUACUAAACAACUACCUGAACACAUUCAACUCCUUGAGAUGGCAGAGAUUAUUACGGAAGUAAGACGUCGAAGAGCAUCAAAAAACACCGUUUACCACGCUUUAUACGGGUAUUAUUUCCUCGGCCAUUCCGUAGCUGAGCUGUCCAGAUUAUACGGAAAGCACAAAUCCACUGUUCAUAACUGGAUCAACAUUUAUGAACAAAACGGACUCUUCGAACGAAAGCAGUAGGGUGAUCAAAGUAUUUUGGACAGACCGUUACUCGUAUAUAAUUUGGCCAUUUACGGCAAAAUCAAAUGGAAGUGGCCAAAUUAUAUAUGCGUAACGCUCUGUCCAAAAUACAUAAAACACCCUACACUCUAAUUUCUAAAAAUAUCCUAUAUAUGGCUAGUUGAUCUCUAUUAACGUCGACCUCUACUUUAUUUGGAAGAAGCUAAACAACUCUUCAGAGAACAUUUCCACAUGGAGAUCUCAGCAUCUUCCGUCUGUCGAAUACUGCAUAGUGAAGGGCUCACAUGGAAGUGCCUAGAACGAAGGGCAAUCCAGGUUAAAGAAAGUGACGUCCAUCGAUUCUUUCUAGAGAUCAACUCAAUCAACUGGAUGUACUGCAACUUGCUGUUUAUUGACGAGGUAUCCUUCGACAAUCGCGGGAUGGUCCGCACAAAAGGUUACUCCGUUAAAGGCCAAAAACUUGUAGCCCGUGGUGAGUUUGUGCGGAAACCGCGAGUUUCGUGCCUGUGCAUGGUUGGUCAACAAGGACUAGUUGAAUGCUGUUAUACCGAAGGAACAUUCACGCGUUUGAAGUUUUUUGAACAAUGUCGUCAGUUUGCUCUGUACAGCGGAAAAGUCGAAACUUAUCCUGGCAUCCAUUCCAUUUGGAUAAUGGAUGGGGCCAAGAUACAUUGCGAUGCUAACAUAAUCUAUUACUUAAGGUCAUUGGGAAUAUUUCCGAUAUUUUUGCCCGCUUACACGCCAUAUUACAAUCCCAUUGAGAUUGUUUUUGGUGUCAUUAAAAAACGUAUGCAGAAAGUAUACAACGAAAACAGUAACACAAAUAUCAAUAUAUUUGUUGCAGAAGUAAUGUCACAGUUUGCAUCAUUUGAAAUGGAUGGGUUGUUCAGGAAAUGUGGAUAUUUCAGAGGGAAAUUCGAUCCUACUGUAGCUGUUCCCAAUGAUAUUGAAGAAUAAAGAGAAAAAUGAAAAUAA